RNAcentral lists this ribosomal RNA (253 nucleotides) under uncultured bacterium. Its description in RNAcentral is "partial 16S ribosomal RNA". It matches the Rfam family "Bacterial small subunit ribosomal RNA", at positions 524 to 776 of the family's 1533-position model. The record is from RNAcentral.
GACAGAGGGUGCAAACGUUGUUCGGAAUUACUGGGCGUAAAGCGCGUGUAGGCGGCGGCGUGUGUCGGGCGUGAAAUCCCAUGGCUCAACCAUGGAAGUGCACCCGAAACUGCGCAGCUAGAGUCCUGGAGAGGAAGGUGGAAUGCUUGGUGUAGAGGUGAAAUUCGUAGAUAUCAAGCGGAACACCGGUGGCGAAGGCGGCCUUCUGGACAGUGACUGACGCUGAGACGCGAAAGCGUGGGGAGCAAACAGG